UUACAUGUUAGAGGGAGUGUGGUAUAGUGACACAGUAACAGAGGGAUUGUGGGCCCUGCUCAGUGAGCUUACAUGUUAGAGGGAGUGGGGUAUAGUGACACAGUAACAGAGGGAUUGAGGCCCUGCUCACUGAGUUUACAUGUUAGAGGGAGUGGGGUAUAGUGACACAGUAACAGAGGGAUUGAGGGCCUGCUCAGUGAGCUUACAUGUUAGAAGGAGUGGGGUAUAGUGACACAGUAACAGAGGGAUUGAUGGCCUGCUCAGUGAGUUUACAUGUUAGAGGGAGUGGGGUAUAGUGACACAGUAACAGAGGGAUUGAGGGCCUGCUCAGUGAGUUUACAUGUUAGAGGGAGGGGGGGUAUAGUGACACAGUAACAGAGGGAUUGAGGGCCUGCUCAGUGAGUUUACAUGUUAGAGGGAGUGGGGUAUAGUGACACAGUAACAGAGGGAUUGAGGGCCCGCUCAGUGAGUUUACAUGUUAGAGGGAGUGGGGUAUAGUGACACAGUAACAGAGGGAUUGAGGGCCUGCUCAGUGAGGUUACAUGUUAGAGGGAGUGGGGGUAUAGUGACACAGUAACAGAGGGAUUGAGGGCCUGCUCAGUGAGUUUACAUGUUAGAGGGAGUGGGGUAUAGUGACACAGGAACAGAGGGAUUGAGGCCUGCUCAGUGAGUUUACAUGCUAGAGGGAGUGGGGUAUAGUGACAGUAACAGAGGGAUUGAGGGCCCUGCUCAGUGAGUUUACAUGUUAGAGGGAGUGGGGUAUAGUGACACAGUAACAGAG
Molecule: long non-coding RNA, 781 nt
Filed under: Pelobates cultripes (western spadefoot toad)
Lineage: Eukaryota; Metazoa; Chordata; Amphibia; Anura; Pelobatidae
Source: RNAcentral